AGGCAGUGUAUCGUUAGUUUGCUGUUGAACUUAAACCAGCAGCUAUGUACACUACCACA
Molecule: microRNA precursor, 59 nt
Filed under: Xenopus laevis (African clawed frog)
Lineage: Eukaryota; Metazoa; Chordata; Amphibia; Anura; Pipidae
Description: Xla-Mir-34-P3d2_pre stem-loop
Source: RNAcentral